This 892-nucleotide ribosomal RNA is filed under the name uncultured bacterium. Its description in RNAcentral is "bacterial SSU rRNA". It matches the Rfam family "Bacterial small subunit ribosomal RNA", at positions 9 to 916 of the family's 1533-position model. The record is from RNAcentral.
GAGUUUGAUCAUGGCUCAGGAUGAACGCUGGCGGCGUGCCUAAUACAUGCAAGUCGAGCGAACCACUUCGGUGGGAAGCGGCGAACGGGUGAGUAACACGUAGGUGAUCUGCCCAUCAGACGGGGACAACGAUUGGAAACGAUCGCUAAUACCGGAUAGGACGAAAGUUUAAAGAUGCUCCUGGCAUCACUGAUGGAUGAGCCUGCGGCGCAUUAGCUAGUUGGUGGGGUAAAGGCCUACCAAGGCGACGAUGCGUAGCCGACCUGAGAGGGUGAACGGCCACACUGGGACUGAGACACGGCCCAGACUCCUACGGGAGGCAGCAGUAGGGAAUCUUCGGCAAUGGGCGAAAGCCUGACCGAGCAACGCCGCGUGAAUGAAGAAGGCCUUCGGGUUGUAAAAUUCUGUUAUAAGGGAAGAAAGGUGAUAGGAGGAAAUGACUAUCAAUUGACGGUACCUUAUGAGAAAGCCACGGCUAACUACGUGCCAGCAGCCGCGGUAAUACGUAGGUGGCAAGCGUUAUCCGGAAUUAUUGGGCGUAAAGAGCGCGCAGGUGGUUAAUUAAGUCUGAUGUGAAAGCCCACGGCUUAACCGUGGAGGGUCAUUGGAAACUGGUUGACUUGAGUGCAGAAGAGGGAAGUGGAAUUCCAUGUGUAGCGGUGAAAUGCGUAGAGAUAUGGAGGAACACCAGUGGCGAAGGCGGCUUCCUGGUCUGCAACUGACACUGAGGCGCGAAAGCGUGGGGAGCAAACAGGAUUAGAUACCCUGGUAGUCCACGCCGUAAACGAUGAGUGCUAAGUGUUGGGGGUCGAACCUCAGUGCUGAAGUUAACGCAUUAAGCACUCCGCCUGGGGAGUACGGUCGCAAGACUGAAACUCAAAGGAAUUGACGG